Long non-coding RNA from Drosophila innubila, 355 nucleotides. RefSeq lists it as uncharacterized. The transcript has 2 exons. Lineage: Eukaryota; Metazoa; Arthropoda; Insecta; Diptera; Drosophilidae. The record is from RefSeq and is a predicted model, not a curated record.
UGGUCAGUUCCCAGCAUGACUGUAAGCGUAAUAUGCUCAAACUGUGACUUUGCUUUGGUGAAAAAUAUCCGAGGGCAGCAUCUGUGACAUGUGAGAACUCGUAUAAGGAUGGCAGCAGCUGUGCCACCGCACCAACUGCCUCGUCCGCUAUGUUGAUGCAGUCCGCCAGUGACAAGGACACGAUCCGAGGCGUCAAACAGGCCCACAGUCCAGCCUCGGUGACCUCAUUGCAGCCGGCGAGCUCAAGUUCAAAUAGACUCUGCAAUUGUCAUUUUAUUUACGAAAUUAUUCCUUUGUUAUAUAUCAUGUUUAUUGCUUUCAACUUAGAUUAUAAUUAAAAAUAAACAAAAAAGUG